Mauremys reevesii (Reeves's turtle) is the source of this 1264-nucleotide long non-coding RNA. RefSeq lists it as uncharacterized. The transcript has 4 exons. The record is from RefSeq and is a predicted model, not a curated record. Lineage: Eukaryota; Metazoa; Chordata; Testudines; Geoemydidae.
UGCCAUGAAUAAGACCAUACCAAUGUGGGACAGAUAAGGGGGUGCAAAGGAGUCCUAUAUACUGAAGGGAGAAGCAGAAAGAGUGGGAAAGAUCCCUGACUCAGGUGGAGAAUGGGGAAGGAGAUUGACAUAGAGAAGAUCUGGCAGGUUACCACACAGGCACUGGAGUCACACAGAUGGCAAGGGAGAAUUUAGGAACUGCAAGGACUGCACACACUGGCCCCAGAGGGUCAGCAUCAGGAAAAUGGUCAGCUACUCCACUUGCUGGCCGCUAACUACUGAACCAGGCCUACUCCCAAAUGUAGACAAGGAUAAGGAGGGAAGGUGAGAGACAGAGCUGCUGCUGCAACUGGACUGAAGUUCACUGAAGGAAGGAGAAAACUCUGGAGGAAAACUAUGCAGUCAAGAAAUGAGAACUGAAGACUGAGCAGUUGCUGUGGGGUCCAUUCCAGAACCCUCGAGGCAAUGGACAAAGAAACAGGGGAAAUUUUAGUGGAUGCUUUUAAAAUAACAUUUCUGGAAGCCAACUGGACAAAGUGAUAAACACACAUCUAUCCAGGUGUCUGCUGAUGGGGAAGAUGCAGGAGGGACUGAUAGUAAUAACUUCCCAUUUCUAUAGCACCUUUCAUCCUGAAAGUGUAAAGUGCUUUAUUACAAACUAGGACCCUCAGGUAUAUGGCUGGAACUUCCACUGCUUUCAAGAGGAAAACAUUCCACCCACCACUGAAAUGCAGCCAUCUCUGGAAUGGGAUGCAGCGGGGUGACUGAUCAGGGGAACACCUGGCUACUUUGUAUUUGGAUUGCAAAGUGUCAGCAGGGAUUUCCCCACAGGGUGAUCACACCACCAUGCCAGCAGACAUGGCUACUGGCUGCACCCAGACCCUGACACGGAGUCACCCGGACAGACCAGCUUAUAAAACUAAGCACAGACUUCGACUUGCCUUGUGGCCGUGGCUGCAAUUGACGGGUUGCAGGCUGAGUUGCCAAGCAAUAAUACCUGCUGAGAGGGAUCCAGGGGUCCCACUGUGCGAAGAGGUAUCAGGAGAUGGAGGGGACAGCAGAGGUCGCUGAGAGAUGGUUCUGCUCCUGGGACACGAUCUGUCUGUUGUCUGGUCAGCUUCUUCUCUUUGAGGAGAUUUAUAUCUCGAGUGGAAAGACCUCAGUGCUUCCUCUAUUGUCCUCAUGAGUGAAGGCAGCACCCAGCCCAGCAGCCUAAUUUACAGCCCCGCCUGCAGGCAGAAAUCACGCCAGCUGGACUCGAGCC